AGUGAACGCUGGCGGUAGGCCUAACACAUGCAAGUCGAACGGCAGCACAGUAAGAGCUUGCUCUUACGGGUGGCGAGUGGCGGACGGGUGAGGAAUACAUCGGAAUCUACUUUUUCGUGGGGGAUAACGUAGGGAAACUUACGCUAAUACCGCAUACGACCUACGGGUGAAAGCAGGGGAUCUUCGGACCUUGCGCGAUUGAAUGAGCCGAUGUCGGAUUAGCUAGUUGGCGGGGUAAAGGCCCACCAAGGCGACGAUCCGUAACUGGUCUGAGAGGAUGAUCAGCCACACUGGAACUGAGACACGGUCCAGACUCCUACGGGAGGCAGCAGUGGGGAAUAUUGGACAAUGGGCGCAAGCCUGAUCCAGCCAUACCGCGUGGGUGAAGAAGGCCUUCGGGUUGUAAGGCCCUUUUGUUGGGAAAGAAAAGCAGCAGGUUAAUACCCCGCUGUUCUGACGGUACCCAAAGAAUAAGCACCGGCUAACUUCGUG
This 492-nucleotide ribosomal RNA is filed under the name uncultured bacterium. Its description in RNAcentral is "partial 16S ribosomal RNA". It matches the Rfam family "Bacterial small subunit ribosomal RNA", at positions 29 to 507 of the family's 1533-position model. The record is from RNAcentral.